Molecule: ribosomal RNA, 254 nt
Filed under: uncultured bacterium
Lineage: Bacteria
Description: partial 16S ribosomal RNA
Rfam family: Bacterial small subunit ribosomal RNA
Source: RNAcentral
GACGUAGGGCGCGAGCGUUUGUCCGGAUUUAUUGGGCGUAAAGAGCUCGUAGGCGGCUUGUCACGUCGGGUGUGAAAGACCGGGGCUUAACCCCGGUUCUGCAUUCGAUACGGGCUGGCUAGAGUGUGGUAGGGGAGAUCGGAAUUCCUGGUGUAGCGGUGAAAUGCGCAGAUAUCAGGAGGAACACCGGUGGCGAAGGCGGAUCUCUGGGCCAUUACUGACGCUGAGGAGCGAAAGCGUGGGGAGCGAACAGG